GACGAACGCUGGCGGCGUGCCUAAUACAUGCAAGUAGAACGCUGAAGAGAGGAGCUUACUCUUCUUGGAUGAGUUGCGAACGGGUGAGUAACGCGUAGGUAACCUGCCUUGUAGCGGGGGAUAACUAUUGGAAACGAUAGCUAAUACCGCAUAACAAUGGAUGACACAUGUCAUUUAUUUGAAAGGGGCAAUUGCUCCACUACAAGAUGGACCUGCGUUGUAUUAGCUAGUAGGUGAGGUAAUGGCCCACCAAGGCGACGAUCCAUAGCCGACCUGAGAGGAGGUCCGCCCAAACUGGAACUGAGACACGCCCAAGCCCCCUAGGGGAGGCAGAGGUGGGGAAUUUUGGACAAUGGGCGCAAGCCUGACCAAGCACUCCGGGGGGGGUGAAGAAGGUCUCGGGUUGGAAAAGCCCGUUGGUAGUGAAAGAAAAGUGGGAGGGUAAAAAGUUCACGCUGUGACGGUACCUAAAGAGAAAGCACCGGCUAACUACGUG
RNAcentral lists this ribosomal RNA (496 nucleotides) under uncultured bacterium. Its description in RNAcentral is "partial 16S ribosomal RNA". It matches the Rfam family "Bacterial small subunit ribosomal RNA", at positions 28 to 507 of the family's 1533-position model. The record is from RNAcentral.